GCCAGACAUGGUGGGGCAUGCCUGUAGUCCCAGCUAAUUGGGAGGCUGAGGUGGGAGGAUUGCUUGAGCCCAGGAAUCCUGGGUUGUAGUGUGCUAUACUAAUCAGGUGUCUGCACUAAGUUUGGCAUCAACACAGUGACCUCCCAGGAGCAGGGGACCACCAGGUUGCCUAAGGAGAGGUGAACUGGUCCAGGUCGGAAACAGAGCAGGUCACAACUCCUGUGCUGAUCAGCAGUGGGAUCACACCUGUGAAUAGCCACUGCACUCCAGCCUGGGAAACAUAGUGAGACCUCAUCUCUA
Unclassified non-coding RNA from Callithrix jacchus (white-tufted-ear marmoset), 300 nucleotides. It matches the Rfam family "Metazoan signal recognition particle RNA". Rfam says of the family: The signal recognition particle (SRP) is a universally conserved ribonucleoprotein. Lineage: Eukaryota; Metazoa; Chordata; Mammalia; Primates; Cebidae. The record is from Ensembl.